Molecule: non-coding RNA, 121 nt
Organism: Podarcis lilfordi (Lilford's wall lizard)
Lineage: Eukaryota; Metazoa; Chordata; Lepidosauria; Squamata; Lacertidae
Source: the annotation of a GenBank genome assembly
UGUCCAGUAGCACCUUAGAGACCAACUAAGUUUGUUCUUGGUAUCUGAAUAAGUGUGCGUGCACACAAAAGCUCUUACCAAGUACAAAUUUAGUUGGUCUCUAAGGUGCUACUAAGGGACG